UGGGGAAACUGCGUUCAGAGCAGGC
RNAcentral lists this non-coding RNA (25 nucleotides) under Mus musculus (house mouse). The record is from RNAcentral. Lineage: Eukaryota; Metazoa; Chordata; Mammalia; Rodentia; Muridae.